RNAcentral lists this ribosomal RNA (497 nucleotides) under uncultured bacterium. RNAcentral's name for it is "partial 16S ribosomal RNA". It matches the Rfam family "Bacterial small subunit ribosomal RNA", at positions 28 to 523 of the family's 1533-position model. The record is from RNAcentral.
GAUGAACGCUGGCGGCGUGCUUAACACAUGCAAGUCGAACGAAGCACCUUAUUCUGAUUUCUUCGGAAUGAAAAAUUUGGUGACUGAGUGGCGGACGGGUGAGUAACGCGUGGGUAACCUGCCUCAUACAGGGGGAUAACAGUUAGAAAUGACUGCUAAUACCGCAUAAGACCACAGUACCGCAUGGUACAGGGGUAAAAACUCCGGUGGUAUGAGAUGGACCCGCGUCUGAUUAGGUAGUUGGUGGGGUAACGGCCUACCAAGCCGACGAUCAGUAGCAGACCUGAGAGGGUGACCGGCCACAUUGGGACUGGGACACGGCCCAAACUCCUACGGGAGGCAGCAGUGGGGAAUAUUGCACAAUGGGGGAAACCCUGAUGCAGCGACGCCGCGUGAGCGAUGAAGUAUUUCGGUAUGUAAAGCUCUAUCAGCAGGGAAGAAAAUGACGGUACCUGACUAAGAAGCACCGGCUAAAUACGUGCCAGCCGCCGCAGUAA